CCCUUAUUUAAAUUGUGGUUGUAAUGAUAUUGUAAAUAUUGAAACCCUUUAGUUUAAACUUAAAUCGCAAUGGUUUCACAUUUCUUGAUAUUUUAAUUGUGUAGUGUCCACGUCAGCCAGGAGGUACUGAAUGCGGCUACUAUGUGAUGAAGUUCAUGAAGGAGAUAGCUUACGAAGGAGUUGAAAUACUUGACAAUGAUAAUGUUGGGAAAGGAGUAGAGGAAUACUCGGCUGCGGAUAUGGAUGGCAUUCGUGAAGAUUGGUCGACUUAUGCGGUUAACUCUAUUUUUAAGUUAUAAAUCGUAUUUUAGGUGUUGAUAAUGUAUUGACAAACAAUUCUUUUUUUGUUAACGUUAAAAUAUUUGUAGUAUACUUGA
This is a long non-coding RNA of Helianthus annuus (common sunflower), 377 nucleotides long. RefSeq lists it as uncharacterized. NCBI's taxonomy places the organism in Eukaryota, Viridiplantae, Streptophyta, Magnoliopsida, Asterales, Asteraceae. The record is from RefSeq and is a predicted model, not a curated record. The transcript has 2 exons.